This 834-nucleotide ribosomal RNA is filed under the name Pseudolycoriella teo. RNAcentral's name for it is "partial 28S ribosomal RNA". It matches the Rfam family "Eukaryotic large subunit ribosomal RNA", at positions 345 to 1011 of the family's 3401-position model. The record is from RNAcentral. Lineage: Eukaryota; Metazoa; Arthropoda; Insecta; Diptera; Sciaridae.
CAAGUACCGUGAGGAAAGUUGAAAGCACUCUGAAUAGAGAGUUAAAUAGUACGUGAAACCGCUUAGGGGUUAAGCCUGAUGAACCCGAAUAUUUGAAAUGAGAAAUUCAUUAUCAUUNAGUAGUUUCAUUUGAAGCGAACAAUGAUAUGCACUUUUCUCAGUGUAAAACAUUGCAAUCUAUUUGUAUAUCCGUAUGGAUGGUUUAUCAAAUGGCCCGUAUGGUUUGUUCAUUCCUAUCAGUAACAUUUUAUGUUAUAUGGUUGAUGCCAUAGCGGUGACCUGGUAAACAGCAGAUAGUUUUUAAAAAUCAUGCAACCACAUUUUAUGUGUAUCACGGUUUAUGUGCUGUUUUCAGUGCGUGAAUGCAGUGAUAGCAUGCAUUUGAUKGGCAAUGCGAUAGGUUUGGGAACCUUCAGGACCSGUCKUGAAACACGGACCAAGAAGUCUAACAUGUGUGCGAGUCAUUGGGUAUAUUGUUGAAACCUAAGGGCGCAAUUAAAAUAACUAUUUUAUGGGAUUACAAGUGAAUUAAAUUUCAUUUCUUCAUCCCGGGGCGUUCUAUACGAACAUGGUGCAAGCAAUUGAAUCCUCUGUUCAAGAGCGUACCUUGAGCAUACAUGCUGUGACCCGAAAGAUGGUGAACUAUACCUGAUCAGAUCGAAGCCAGGAGAAAUUCUSGUGGAGGAUYGAAACAGUUCUGACGUGCAAAUCGAUYGUCARAAUUGGGUAUAGGGGCGAAAGACCAAUCGAACCAUCUAGUAGCUGGUUCCCUCCGAAGUUUCCCUCAGMAUAGCUGGCGCAAAGAAUUAUAUUGUAUAUAAUCUUAUCUGGUAA